UCCAUCUAAAACCAGGUGCGGUCGCGGCCUCCGGGUGAAAGCCUGGGUGGUUUCGCGCCGCAUUCCUGCACCCUUUUUUUACGAGCACCUUUGUUCUCCUUCGGCGGGGCAACCUGCCGCUGGAACUUAAUAAAACCUUUUUUGCAUCUAGCAUUACCUGUUCUGAUACAAAUAAUCGUUA
RNAcentral lists this unclassified non-coding RNA (181 nucleotides) under uncultured fungus. RNAcentral describes it as "sequence contains ITS1, 5.8S rRNA gene". Lineage: Eukaryota; Fungi. The record is from RNAcentral.